CGUUUCGAGUGUACAUAACAAUGGCAUAAGUUCAGAUCCAUGCUUGACUUUACAAAGUGAAUACAUGCAACGAGAAAAGCUUAGGGGCUCAAGGUCAUCCAUUUCUACUACAGAUUCAGUAAAAAAAAAAGGAAAAAAGGUACUCCGUACUUUGUUUUGCGAACCCAUAUAGAUUCAUGUCAUCCAAACUGACAAACUGAAAUACAAGGCCAGAUAAAUGGAGGGCAGAAGGACCACUACAGUUGGGGGAGAUUACUAGCCAUGCUUUCCUUGAAGAAGUACUUGUUCUCGUCAGGCAUGUGGCUCCUGUAGCAAUGCUCUUGCCACUACGUGCAGAACUCGCAGUUCUUGCCCAUCUUGAGAUCAGAUUGGCUGUCAGGGAAAGAUCACGAAGAAUGGCGAUAGCAAGAUAGUAAGAACCUAGAAGCUUUCCUUCAGGCGCAGAGUUGGCGAUAGCAACACUAGUAACAAGUGUAGAUAGGCUAAGCAACAAGUGUCGAAAAGGUUGUUUCCUGCAUACUGUAUCGUAUGCCGCUGCUGCCGGCGGAGCGGAGGCGGGCGACCAUCCUCCCCGGCGAGAUCCAGGCCACCACCGGGGAAGCCCGCAGCUACCUCCUCCGUAUCCUCCCCGCCCCACCCGAUCCGACCUCCAAAGCGUGCGCUGCCGCUGCACUUGGACGAGAGCCGUUCCACCCUCCGAGAGCCGACUCGGCCGCUUCCCGCCGCCAUGAGCAUCUCCGCUGCUUCCUCACGACAUUCCUCUCGCUCACCAAAGGCCUUGCGACGCGCUGCUGUUCCAUUCCCCUGUCUGGCUACGGUUUUCGGUGAUCGCUCCGGCUGUGUGCGCUCCCCGUCUUCGUGAAGGUCACAAGUUCCUGAGCAGUUCCUCCUGAGCCUGCCGCUGUCAUCGAUGCCAACAAGCAUGUAAAAAUUCGAGUGCCAUUGAUCUCAAUUUUUGUAA
This is a long non-coding RNA of Lolium perenne, 961 nucleotides long. RefSeq lists it as uncharacterized. Lineage: Eukaryota; Viridiplantae; Streptophyta; Magnoliopsida; Poales; Poaceae. The record is from RefSeq and is a predicted model, not a curated record.